Molecule: long non-coding RNA, 322 nt
Organism: Neofelis nebulosa (Clouded leopard)
Lineage: Eukaryota; Metazoa; Chordata; Mammalia; Carnivora; Felidae
Exons: 3
Source: RefSeq, a predicted model, not a curated record
GGAGGUGCCCUUCUGAGCAUCCGGGUUCUCCCUUGCUAGAAGUCUUCCACCUACGAAGAUGUCGCCCUGGGGCCCCUGUUUCUCCGAAGACCGUCCCGAUCGAGGCAGCGAACACAUUCUUGGAACCACCACCUGGAUGAAGAAAUGGAACCUUACCGUGCUUCCUACCUCCUACUGACUCCCACCGAACGUCCCCCAAAGGAGUGUGCAGCUCUCGCUGCAGAGCUCCACACCUGCAGGGAGCAGCUCGUGCAGAGAGAGGAGGAGAUCGCCAACCUGAAGGCGGAGAGAAACAACACCAGGGUCAGUAGGUGCACUGCCA